GAUGAACGCUAGCGGCAGGCCUAAUACAUGCAAGCCGAACGGCAAGCUUUGUAGCAAUACGGAGCCUAGAGUGGCGUAAGGGUGCGUAACACGUAUGCAAUCUACCCUCAACAGGAGAAUAGCUCCCGAAAGGGGAAUUAAUGUUCCAUAGGAUCAUGGUGCGGCAUCGCACAGUGAUUAAACCGCAAGGGGUUGAGGAUGAGCAUGCGCAUGAUUAGUUAGUUGGCGGGUAAC
This 234-nucleotide ribosomal RNA is filed under the name uncultured bacterium. RNAcentral describes it as "partial 16S ribosomal RNA". It matches the Rfam family "Bacterial small subunit ribosomal RNA", at positions 28 to 261 of the family's 1533-position model. The record is from RNAcentral.